UCUAGCCAAUCCUCAAUACUAGCAAAUUGGGUAUUACAAUCAUCCCCCACUAUCCUCACCCGAGUCUUAAGUAUGUUCAAGCUAAAGUAUAGCCUCUAUGCCCUUAUCAAUCUUCUAGUCUAGCUAGUCAAAGUGUCUAUCAAAAUGAGCAAGCAAAAGCUCUAUGUUCAAUAGUGUAGAAGAGGGACUAACUGCCUGUCUGAAGGUAUGGAAUGCUAGGGAACUGAAGCAGCUAGAUUGAAGGAAGGUUA
Molecule: long non-coding RNA, 251 nt
Filed under: Manihot esculenta (cassava)
Lineage: Eukaryota; Viridiplantae; Streptophyta; Magnoliopsida; Malpighiales; Euphorbiaceae
Description: long non-coding RNA (MESC_LNC005354)
Source: RNAcentral